AAUUAAUUCAUUUUAAUUCGAGCUUAUAUAAGUAAUUAGAUUAUUUUACACAUCAAAAUGAUUAAUCAAAUUAAUAUUACAAUUUAACCAUUUAUAUUUACUCUUUUAUUUUUAUAUUUUACGACUGAGAUAUCCCACAAUCUCAACAAAGAUGUGUAGUCUGAUCGAGAGUAUUAAGCUAGUAUCUGCAUCAUUCUCUACAGAGCUUCAUCGUCAUCUGUGUCCAGCUCAAGGCCUUCUGCAGCCAAAAGCUGAUUAAUAACUUUUUUCUUCUCUUCCUCUGCUUUCUUCCGCAUCAAGUCCCUCUUCUUUAAGACAAGUGUAUGCCGCCUGAGAGUAUUGGUAUAAUACUCUGCAGACGCUUUUUUCUCUCUUGCUAGGAUUCUUCUCUCUUCUUCUGGGUCGAUCUUUGAACGAGAAAGACGGCGCGCACGGAGAUUCAUCUCACGCUGCUGUUGUUCAGCCCAUGCGGCAAUGGCCAUAUCACCCCGUUGAUCAAAAGCUUUUCGCUUUUUCAUAAGCCACUCCAUCCAUGCUUGUGAUGCCUUCAUUGGAUUGACCCUGUGAUCCAUAUCAUAUUGUCUCCGUUUCUCAUCAUCCAUGAGCAACUCAUAUGCAGCUUGAAUCUUAAUGAAUCUAGCUUCAGCUGUUUCUCCUUCCUCAAGAGUCCCUCUGCCAUCAUAGACUUUCACAUAGGAAGUAAAUAAAUAGGUGAAUUCAAAAAUGCACUUAAGAAAAUAACCAAACGCAAGAUAAAAGGAAUUGCGUUGCAGAAAUUACCCUAUAGCUAAUUACAAAAUCUAAGGAGUCCAAAAAAACCUGAUAGAGCCAUACAAUGCUCAAGAAAAAACACAACAACCUGAGAUAUUAUAGCAUCCACAAGAAGAUCAUGCUUGCUCAGAUUCUAACCCAUUCAAUAUCAUAAUUACUCCCAAACUUUUGAAAGAAAAGAAAUAUCAUAAGAAUCUGCACAAUACAGAUUAUAAAAUCUGUCCUGAAUUUUCUAAUGGUUCAUUUACACACAGUAACUGGAUGAUUUGCAGAACCAAGAUGUCCCUUGGUCAGUUUAGUUUCAUUAUGCACCCUGUUUAUUCAAUCAUUUUUGAAAUUAUAGAAUAUUAACGAAAAGAGAAGGUGAAAUAAAGCAGUAGGAAAUCAUAUGAUCCUGAACCUUACCUAUAGUCAUAUUUCAUAAGCUAGUGUGAAAGUCAAGGUGAUUGACCAAUAGCAUUUACCAUUCUUUAUUUUUUGGCAAAAGAUUGAAGAGAGGAGGAGACAUAAUAGAGAACCUAACAAAAUCCAUAAAGCUGAAAUCCCUAUAAUCGCAAAACCGUCUGUUAGUACUUGGUAGUCGGUAUAAUCUAUCAUCUGGUUAUAAUGCUAGAAAGGAAUGUAGAAUAAUGGUUAGGACUCACAAACACCAGGGAGAUUACGAAUGUCUGAGUUGGAAUGACACUACGGUAGGAAAUUUAUUCUAUCCUAAAAGCCGCAGACAAUGUUCAUAGUACUACCUGAAAAUUCAUGGAUAAAGACGAAGGAAACUAACCAUCUGGAUGAUAAUAUUUGGCCAAGCGUCUGUAAGCAACCUUAAUCUCCUCUUCAUCCGCACCCCUUUCCAACUCAAGAGUUUCAUAUGGAGAUUUCUGAUCGGUCCAACUAGAAGCCCUAACCACAGUUCUCCUCUGGUUAACGCGAAACCACGUGUCAUUUCCAUGGAGCCAAGGAGAGAAAAGAGACGGCGGCGAUAACGGAGGCUUAAAGUCAGGGUUCCGAAAUGAAACCCUAACUCUGGAUCGAGCUUGGUGCCUACAACACAAGAAGGACGUGAACACAGUAUGCGGCCUACAGAUUGUUCUCAAAUUGCUCAUUUUUCCUGCUAGAUUGCUUUAUUUUUUUUUUUUGAAAGAAAAAUCAAUUGAAGCUUCAACAGCUCAACAGCCGGGGAGAAAGAGGUGCAAGAUUAGGGUUUUCUGAUCUAAUUUUUCCAG
This 1988-nucleotide unclassified non-coding RNA is filed under the name Hevea brasiliensis (rubber tree). The record is from RNAcentral. Lineage: Eukaryota; Viridiplantae; Streptophyta; Magnoliopsida; Malpighiales; Euphorbiaceae.